Molecule: ribosomal RNA, 2984 nt
Filed under: Durio zibethinus
Lineage: Eukaryota; Viridiplantae; Streptophyta; Magnoliopsida; Malvales; Malvaceae
Description: eukaryotic LSU rRNA
Rfam family: Eukaryotic large subunit ribosomal RNA
Source: RNAcentral
AGUCAAAUUGUUUGUGAAUGCACCCAAUCGGGUGGAAAAUUCCAUCCAAGGAUGAAUACGGGUGAGAGAGUGAUAGCAAACAAGUAUCAUAAGAGAAAGAUGGCAAGGACUUUGAAAAGAGAGUCAAAGAGUGCUUUAAAUUGUCAUAAGGGAAGUGGUUGGUGGCCAACGAUGUGCCUCGGUUAAAUGUGGAACGAUGAGAAUUGGUUUGUUGAUCACCUUAGGGUGUGGACUAAUGCGGGUUAUGACGGUGGCCUUAGCUUGGGCUUUUGAUAUGCCUAUGCAAACAUUAUCAGUACAAUCAUAGAAUGUAGCACACACCAUCUUGACUUGCCUCAACACCAACAUGCUUCCAACGUCAGCCUAUGAGCAUCCUAUAUUACCCGUUUUGAAACACAAACCAAGGAGUCUAACAUAUGUAUGAGUCAAUGGGCUAGAAAACUCAUAAGAAGUAAGGAAGCUAAUUUGUAAGAUCCCUCAUAGGUGCACUAUAAAUUAACCUUGAUCUUUAAGAAGGGUUUGAGUGUAAGUAUGCCUAUCAGGACUCGAAAGAUGGUGAACUAUGCCUAAGCAAGGUAAACCUAGGGGAAACUCUCGUGAAGGCCCAUAGCAAUACUGACGUGCUAAUCAUUCGUCUGACUUGGGUAUAGGGUUGAAAGGCUAAUCGAACCAUCUAGUAACUUGUUCCCUUUGAAGCUUCCCUCAGGACAGCUAGAGCCUUUAGUGAGUUUUAUUGGGUAAAGCCAAUGAUUAGAGGCAUCAGGGGUGUAAUGCCCUUGACCUAUUCUCAAACUUUAAAUAGGUAGGAUGGCAUGGCUACUUUGUUGAGCCAGCUAUGAAAUCUAGAGCUCCAAGAGGACCAUCUUUUGUAAAUGAAAUUGAUGAUGCAAGAUGAACAUAAGUCAGGUUAUAGUGCCCAAUUACAUGCUAACCUAGAACCCACAAAGGGUAUUGGUCAAUUAAGAUAGCGGGACAAUGGUCAUGGAAGUUGAAAUAUGCUAAAGAGUAUUUAACAACUCACUUGCUAAAUCAACUGGUCUAAAAAAUGGAUGUCGCCUAAGAGUGUGACUUAUACCAAGCAAUCGAGGUAAGAGCUAGUUCCAAAUGAGUAAGAGGGCAUAACAGUCACCAUAAAACUUAAGGUGUGAACUUGAGCAGAGUGACCAUCGAUGUAGAUCUUAGUGAUAGUAGCAAAUAUUCAAAUGAGAACUUUGAAGGCCAAAGAAAGGAUAGGCUCUAUGUGAACAACACUUGCACAUGGGUUAGUUGAUCCUAAGAGAUGGGGGAAGCUUAUUUGAUGUGCAUCUAGCAUGAGCUUCAAAAAAAAAUUGGGUUAAAAUUCUUGAAUCAGGACAUGACAACUAAUGGUAAUGUUAGGGAGUCCAGAGACGUUGGCAAGGGCCUCAAGAAGAGUUAUCUUUUCUAUUUAAUUAGCUUGCCUACCUUGGAAAUGGCUUAGAUGAAGGUAAAGUCCAGUAGUCAGAAAAGCAUCAUAUGUCGUGUGGUGUUUGGUGCACCCUAAGUAGCCCUUGAAAAUUUAGAGGACUGAGUGCUUUCCAUGCCUAGUCAUGCUCAUAACUGCAUGAGGUCUCCAAGUUGAAUAGCCUUUAGUCAAUGGAAUAAUGUAGGUAAGGGAAGUCAGCAAAAUGGAACUGUGACCUCAAGAAAAGGAUUGGCUUUAAGGGUUAGGCAUGGGGGUCCUAGUCCUAAACCCAUCAGCUACCAAUGCACUACUCGUCUAUUCCCACAACAAGAGUGGGUCAUCAUAUGCUGACUGAGGGAUAGACUAAGAACAGUUCCUUCAGGGGCCUUCCCUAAGUGACAAACAUUUGACUAAAGAAACAAUAUGAACAAGGGGAAUCUGACUAUUUAAUUAAAACAAGCAUUGUGAUGGUUCCAGUGGAUGCUCACAUAAUGUGAUUUCUGCCCAAUGCUCUGAAUGUCAAAGUGAAGAAAUUCAAUCAAGCACGGGUAAAUGACAGGAGUAACUAUGACUCUCUUAAGGUAAUUUAAUGCCUAUUCAUCUAAUUAGUGACGUACAUGAAUGGAUUAAUGAGAUUCUCAUUGUCCCUAUCUAUUAUCCAGUGAAACCAUAGCCAAAAGAAUGGGCUUAGCAAAAUCAGUAGGGAAAAAGACCUUGUUGAGCUUAACUAUAGUUUGACAUUGUGGAAUGAGUGGGAGCCCGAGGGUAAAAUUGAAAUACCACUACUUUUAACAUUAUUUUACUUAUUUCAUGAAUUAGAGGAAAGCACGAGCCUUUUUUUUUUAGACCUAAGGUCAACCUUGGUCAGUCAAUCCAGGUAGAAAACAUUACUAGGUGAGAAGUUUGGCUAAGGUAGCACAUCAGUUAAAAGAUAAUGCAAGUGUCCUAAGAUGAGCUCAAUGAGAAUAGAAAUCUCAUGUGGAACAAAAGGGAUAAAGCUUGCUUGAUUCUAAUUUAUAGUACAAAUACAAACCAUGAGAGCGUGGCCUAUCGAUCUUUUAGACCUUUGAAAUUUGAAAUUAGAGGUGCCAGAAAAGUUACCACAAUAAUAACUAGAUUGUGGUAGCCAAGCAUUCAAAGCGACAUUGCUCUUUGAUCCUUCAAUGUUGGCUUUUCCAUAUCAUUAUGAAGUAGAGUUCACAAAGUGUUAGAUUUUUUCCCACCAAUAGGGAAUGUGAGUUAGGUUUAAACCAUCAUGAAACAAGUUAGUUUUACCUUACUGAUGGCAGCGCUGUAAUAGUAAUUCAACCUAGUACGAGAGGAAUCAUUAAUUCACAUAACUAGUCAUUGCACUUGGUUGAAAAGCCUAUGGGUAAUGCACACCUCUAAGUUAGAAUCCAAGCUAGAAACAAUGGAAGUACCCACCACCCAAUUGUCAACCCAUAGUAGAGGCACAUAGGCCCUAAGGGCAUAUGUCAUAGGUGCAGCCCUCGUGGUAGACAAGCCAUGUAGGCCUUCUUGGAGCUCAAUUCCCAUUAAGUAAUAGGUAAAUUCCUUUGUA